RNAcentral lists this ribosomal RNA (496 nucleotides) under uncultured bacterium. Its description in RNAcentral is "partial 16S ribosomal RNA". It matches the Rfam family "Bacterial small subunit ribosomal RNA", at positions 29 to 507 of the family's 1533-position model. The record is from RNAcentral.
AUGAACGCUGGCGGCGUGCCUCAUACAUGCCAGUCGAGCGAACAGACGAGGAGCUUGCUCCUCUGACGUUAGCGGCGGACGGGUGAGUAACACGUGGAUAACCUACCUAUAAGACUGGGAUAACUUCGGGAAACCGGAGCUAAUACCGGAUAAUAUAUUGAACCGCGUGGUUCAAUAGUGAAAGACGGUUUUGCUGUCACUUAUAGAUGGAUCCGCGCCGCAUUAGCUAGUUGGUAAGGUAACGGCUUACCAAGGCGACGAUGCGUAGCCGACCUGAGAGGGUGAUCGGCCACACUGGAACUGAGACACGGUCCAGACUCCUACGGGAGGCAGCAGUAGGGAAUCUUCCGCAAUGGGCGAAAGCCUGACGGAGCAACGCCGCGUGAGUGAUGAAGGUCUUCGGAUCGUAAAACUCUGUUAUUAGGGAAGAACAAAUGUGUAAGUAACUAUGCACGUCUUGACGGUACCUAAUCAGAAAGCCACGGCUAACUACGUG